Puntigrus tetrazona (Sumatra barb) is the source of this 3278-nucleotide long non-coding RNA. RefSeq lists it as uncharacterized. The record is from RefSeq and is a predicted model, not a curated record. Lineage: Eukaryota; Metazoa; Chordata; Actinopteri; Cypriniformes; Cyprinidae. The transcript has 7 exons.
UCUUUAUACAAUUCAGAUCGUUUGAAAUCAGCUUUACAGAGAUCAGCGGGAAAAUAGCGAUUUAGUGACGCAAACAUGUAUUUACACUGUGAAGCAGAUUUAAAAAGUCAUUAUUCAGUCUGAUUGUUGAUUCAGUUCAGUUUAAUGAAAAGCCCAUCAAUUAUGGAAUGAGUCUAUUUGGAAAAGGGACACUGUACAUGUAGAAUAUUAUUAUUAUGUUCUAUAAAAAUAAUUAUUCAUAAAUUGUUUAUAUCCACAAAAUUCCAUAAAUAUCUUGUUUUCCAUCACAUUAUUUCAACUGUAAGCUUUUCACUGCUAGGACGGCAAACUGUGUGCAUGACCCAUAUGCGACACGAUCAUAAAUACGGUUAUGACGGUUAUGCAACAAAAAUCAUAAAUGUAACUGGUGGUUUCCAAACAUAUAACCUGAUUUAACGAGUAAAGCGUCUCCUCUAGAAAAGGCACGUAAUGGACACGGUCUAAAAAAAGUUUUUCUCUUGUCAGAUCACCGAUUCAAAAGAACACCGGGACACGACGUUCUGUGCCGUACGAACCCAAGAAAAGUGAAGGGAAGGUGAGGUUAAGUGCGACAGACGAGCUGCUACAUUUAGCCGUUUGCUUCAGUAGGUCUAUUGCAUGCCUUUCAACCUGUAAUCUAUGAGUUAUUAACCAGAUCUAGAUCUUCAUCUCAGAUAAAGGUUGACCACGUGAUCCACAUAAACCCAUCUCAAACCGCAAUCGAGUAUGCUUUACACACACCCGUAGAUUUCUCUGAGCACAGGCUGUGUUGUAUCUUCAGAGCUUGUUUUUUCAGGACAUCCAGGCAGAUCAUUGCCUCGCCGUGGAAAGACAUCGAAAUGCUCCCAUCAGAUAUGAUCACAAGUCAUCUGGUGACAUCUAGUGGACAAACCAGAUGUCUGAGGUCGUCCUCACGUGAAAACAGGGAAUCUAAUCAGUUUCCUCAGGCAGAAAUUCACAGGAUAACAGAUGCAGACACCUAAACGGGAUGUUUUAUCUUUGACCCACAUCUAUCCUGCCAUCCAUCCAUCACAAGGUGCCUCUUCUGGAGCGGCAAGAGGAGCAGUUUCGCCGGUAAUGCUGCACACAAAGCAAGUCAGAUAAAAAUGAGACCAAUCGGACGAGUCACCCACAUUACAGUCACACAAAGGAGGGGUUGGUCAAACUAAUCAUUGAGCGAGUCAUGUGAGCACGUAAAGCGAAAAACAUUUUGUCAGCCUGUUGUUGGUCACUCCCAAAACCAAAACGCGAACCAAUGGUUAUCAAUAAUAGUAGCAUUUCUAUGAACAUAUGCUUUAAAUAAAACUGUCCUUUAAAUGACUCGCUGAAAAUCAUUGGGCCAGUGCGCUCAGAACUCAUUUGCAUUGCAUUGUGUUCUUUGUCCUUGACAGGUGACCGCGUGCGUUUCAAAAGCAGAAUUCAUCCUGUAAAUAUCUCCUUUCGUGUCGAAUGGAGGAGCGCGUGGGCUCGGAUCAAAGAAAGGAUGGUCUAGCAGCGUGAUUGAGUCAUUAGGCUCUCUGAGGGUCCGUUCCCUGUCGGUGUGUUACGCAGCGAUGACAGCACUGUCAGACUGAUGUCACGUCUGCUCGCCGAGUGUCGCAAAAUCCCGGUGACAAGCUCCGAUUCUGUGACGACGAAGGCUCGAAACACAGGAGAUCCUUCGAGAAACACAGAGGAACCUAAGACAAACACAUCAAUGCCUCGCCGCUUCUACACCUGAAGGAUGAAAGCAGGCUCCGACGGUAAUGUGGCUUUUUGGAAAGAGAAAUGAAAGACUCUUAGCGGGGAGCCUUUGCUCUGUUGUGUCUCGGGAGGAACGAACCUGUCACCGCCGUCACUGUUGCUUGAUUUCACGAGAUAAUGCUUCUUUUUCCCCUCCAAACAACUCCAACACGAAAGUGCUGUAAGGGAGUUUUUAUGGAUGGGCUGGCUGAAAGCGUCCCUACCGCCUGACAGAUAUCAGUGAAAGAGGCGUCCUGAGGAAUCACAGCUGUCUCUGUGACAGAACGACACUCUGCGAAGCUCACAAAACAACCUGACGCUACGACAUUAGCGUUUAGCCAGUCGGAGGAGUCUGCCUGUCAGUCACGCCGAGCGUUUCGUAGUAAAGCCUCCCGAGUCGAACCAUUAUUUUAUCCAGAGCGGACGUCGGCUUGCUUUGAAAUGGCCUUUUUACGUGAUGAUGGCGUGACGGUGAAUCUCAUUCCUGAGCAUGAAAAAUAUUUUCAAUAAUUUUGAACCUUUUCGGUUUUGACGGACGGAUGGUUCCAGCGUUUAUUUCAAAGCCAAUUCAAUAAGAAAUGUGCAUUUAAAUAUGCAUGGUUACCUAAAAAUGUGAACAGAAUCUUUUUUUUUUGUCGAUAAAAGGAACUAUUUAGUUUCUUUUAACUUAUAGACUUCUCUCAUUGAACAAAACAAUUUGAUUGAACUAAUGCCUACAACUGUAUUUCAUUGCAUUAAAUAAAAUGUCUGCAGACAAAUGCAGCACGAGGCUAAAAUGCUGAUCAAAGUAGUUCAGUGUAGUUCAUCAAAUCACAGACAUAAAGACUUAUUAUAAACUACAUUUCCUUGCAAUAAACGUCACUUGCUUUGAUAUAGUGUUCUGUAAUGCAAUGACGUCCAAUGCACUUUAAACCAAAGCGAGCUGCACUAUAAUGUUCCUCCAGCAGAGAUCAGUAGCGCAUUGAAGCAGCAGUCAAGUAAAUUAAAACUGAAAAAAUUGUGAUUAUUCCUGUUAGAAAAUGCAUCACAGUUGAUCAGUGAAGCUUCUCAGCUACAAUCCAUCUGCCUAUCGAAUUUUUACGUAACCAAACAGCAACUUCUGCAUUCAAUUCUGGGAAAAAAAAAGGAAAUUAAUUAAAAAUAACGGCCUCCGAAUGCUGCAGGAGAUCAGCGGCGUGCUUGCACCGCAGAGAGCCGCAGCUCUUACUCGCGUUAAAGACGUAUUUCACAGCACACGUACUUCUGUAGUGGCCACUGAUUGGCAGCUGUUAUUUUCUUCUCAGACGUAAGCCGUCAGAGGCUCUGUGCUCAAGUGAAAAAUGGAUUUGGAAAAUAAAAAAAAAAACACAUCAAAAUGAAGGCAUUUAUUUUACAGUCCAUUGCGGUUCCGAUAUAGCGUGGAGACGGGUUCUGUGUCGGGGUCAGACGAGGGCACCGCUGACAUUUCACUGCCCUCAAUCUGAUCUACAGAGUAGAUCUGACACCAAAUGUAGUCAGAAACGGCUUAAUGGAAAUGCUAAUAACCAAAAGAUUACGUC